Long non-coding RNA from Prosopis cineraria, 790 nucleotides. RefSeq lists it as uncharacterized. Lineage: Eukaryota; Viridiplantae; Streptophyta; Magnoliopsida; Fabales; Fabaceae. The record is from RefSeq and is a predicted model, not a curated record. The transcript is spliced from 3 exons.
UCUGCCUCUAUUCAAUGGACACUUGAUAGAUUAUGAAUAUUCUAUUUAACUGAUGUGGUGUCAUUUUACGACUCGGCUCGGGGAAUGCAAGAUCUGGAAGCGUUAAUCUGAUGAUUCUAUGAGCUAAUCUCGUUUGAAAACGGCGUGACAACACAACCACACAAAGUACCAUCACUCGAAACUUCUAGUUGAACGAAUCAGAAGGAUUCGGAUUGUGCUUUCAGAGAGGGUUUGAGUUACUUCUAAUAAAAAAAAAAGUCCUCCAGUGGCCCAUAUAUGCACUUCCAAAUCAUAAAGGGAAGCCCAACUUCAGAGCCCUCCCUGCCUCUCAUCCUUCAGAGACAUGACGGAGCUCGGCUCCUUUGGAAAACUAGAAUUAUUCACCAAAAUGAAGACAUGGGGUCAGCCAGAGUGGAGCAACGAAGGCUCCGUUGAAUUGAAUGAAUGCGAGGGAGAAGUCUCUACUUCCUGCCUGAAUCACACUGUCAUAAAUUUGGGUAGGGUACCCUAAACAGUGUUAGAGGCCACCCAAAAGCUCGUGUGAGCAAUUACUCCCAACUCAAGAGACAAACACAUGCACUCUCGUGUUCUGUUUCUAUCGGUUAUUUUUAACAAGGGACGGUAGGUAUGCUAAACACAUGACAGACAAUGUGGUUUAGUUUACUACAUUAUUUAAUGCCAAACAAUGUGGUUGUUGCUAAACAGACAGACGCAGCUACUCCUCUCAUUGUUCUUCAUGUCUCGGUGGUUUCCAGUUCAGCUAUGACAAUAAAUAGUCUUCUAUCUCCAA